Molecule: ribosomal RNA, 432 nt
Filed under: uncultured bacterium
Lineage: Bacteria
Description: partial 16S ribosomal RNA
Rfam family: Bacterial small subunit ribosomal RNA
Source: RNAcentral
AACGAACGCUGGCGGCAUGCCUAACACAUGCAAGUCGAACGAGACCUUCGGGUCUAGUGGCGCACGGGUGCGUAACGCGUGGGAACCUGCCCUUAGGUUCGGAAUAACUCCCCGAAAGGGGUGCUAAUACCGGAUAAUGUCUUCGGACCAAAGAUUUAUCGCCUUUGGAUGGGCCCGCGUUGGAUUAGCUAGUUGGUAGGGUAAAAGCCUACCAAGGCGACGAUCCAUAGCUGGUCUGAGAGGAUGAUCAGCCACACUGGGACUGAGACACGGCCCAGACUCCUCCGGAAGGCAGCAGGGGGGAUAAUUGAACAAUGGGCGAAAGCCUGAUCCAGCAAUGCCGCGUGAGUGAUGAAGGCCUUAGGGUUGUAAAGCUCUUUUACCCGGGAGGAUAAUGACGGUACCGGGAGAAUAAGCUCCGCCUAACUCCGU